Small nuclear RNA from Mesocricetus auratus (golden hamster), 106 nucleotides. The record is from Ensembl. Lineage: Eukaryota; Metazoa; Chordata; Mammalia; Rodentia; Cricetidae.
GUGUUCUCACUUCAGCAGCACAUUUACUAAAGCUGGAAGGCUACGGAGAUUAGCAUGGCCCCUGGGCAAGGACAACAUGCAAAUCUGUGAAGCAUUUCAUAAUUUU